GCUAAAAUAGUUUAACUAAAACCUUGAAUUGUGGUUUCAAAAAUACCUAAUUGGUUUUUAGCC
RNAcentral lists this transfer RNA (63 nucleotides) under Magelona mirabilis. Its description in RNAcentral is "tRNA-His". The record is from RNAcentral. Lineage: Eukaryota; Metazoa; Annelida; Polychaeta; Spionida; Magelonidae.